RNAcentral lists this ribosomal RNA (433 nucleotides) under uncultured bacterium. RNAcentral's name for it is "partial 16S ribosomal RNA". It matches the Rfam family "Bacterial small subunit ribosomal RNA", at positions 29 to 507 of the family's 1533-position model. The record is from RNAcentral.
AACGAACGCUGGCGGCAUGCCUAACACAUGCAAGUCGAACGAGACCUUCGGGUCUAGUGGCGCACGGGUGCGUAACGCGUGGGAACCUGCCCUUAGGUUCGGAAUAACUCCCCGAAAGGGGUGCUAAUACCGGAUAAUGUCUUCAGACCAAAGAUUUAUCGCCUUUGGAUGGGCCCGCGUUGGAUUAGCUAGUUGGUAGGGUAAAAGCCUACCAAGGCGACGAUCCAUAGCUGGUCUGAGAGGAUGAUCAGCCACACUGGGACUGAGACACGGCCCAGACUCCUACGGGAGGCAGCAGUGGGGAAUAUUGGACGAUGGGCGAAAGCCUGAUCCAGCAAUGCCGCGUGAGUGAUGAAGGCCUUAGGGUUGUAAAGCUCUUUUACCCGGGAUGAUAAUGACAGUAACGGGAGAAUAAGCUCCGGCUAACUCCGUG